This 5498-nucleotide long non-coding RNA is filed under the name Mytilus galloprovincialis (Mediterranean mussel). Lineage: Eukaryota; Metazoa; Mollusca; Bivalvia; Mytilida; Mytilidae. The record is from RNAcentral.
UUUUUUUUUAAAUAGGUCAAAAGAUUAAGUCGGGACAGUCUACUUCACUACCUUACAGAAAAGUUAGUAACACAUGUUCUACGUCAAUACUUUUGUCCGCACUAGGCGCAAAGGAUAGCUGGAUAGCUGUGGUCUUCUUGAGAAAAAACACACGGUGUUCUUCGGCUUAGUUUUUAAUUUUUAAAGUAGGUCCAAAGAUUAAGUAUGUCAGUCUACAUCACUACCUUACAGAAAAGAUAUCAAAACUGUUUUACGUCAAUACUUUUGUCCGCAAUUGGCGCAAAGGGAAGCUAGGAAGCUGUGGUGUACUUGAGAAAAAACACAGGGUGUUAUUCGGCUUAGUUCAUUUUUUUAAGUAGGUUAAAAGUUUGGUCGGACACCCUACCCCACUACCUUACAUAAUUGUUAAUAAAAAUGUUCUACGUCAAUACUUUUGUUCGCACUAGGCGCAUAAUAAAGCUGGGAAGAUGUGGUCUACUUGUAAAACACAAGGUGUUAUUCGGCUAAGUUGAUUUUUUUUAACAGGUCCAAAGAUUGAGUCUGACAGUCUACUUUACUACCUUACAGAAAAUUUAAUAAAUCAUGUUGUAUGUCAAUAAUCUUGUCCGCACUAGGCGCAAAGGGAAGCUAGGUAGCUGUUGUCUACAUGAAAGAAAAAAACGCAGGGUGUUCUUCGGCUUAGUUUUUUUUUUAAAGUAGGUCCAAAGUUGGGGUCGGACACCCUAUACCAAUACCCUACAGAAAAGGUAAUAGAGAAUGUUCUACGUCAAUACGUUUGUCUGCACUAGGCGCAAAGGGAAGCUGCUGGGUAGCUGUGGUCUACUUGCAAAAAAUCAAGGGUGUUGUUCGGCUUAGUUUUGUUUUUAAGUAGGUCCACAGUUGGGAUCGGAUACCCUAACCAACACUUACAGAAAAGUUAAUUUUAAAAUCUUGUACGGCAAAACUUUUGUCCGCAGUAGGUGCAAAGGGAAGCUAAGUAGCUGAGGUCUACUUGAAAAAAAAUCCAGGGUGUUGUUCGGCAUAGUUUUUUUAUUUUAAAGUAGGUCCACAGUUGGGGUUGACACCAUACCCAACCUUACAGAAAAAUUAAUAAAAAAUGUUCUACUGCAAUACUUUCGUCCACAAUAGGUGAAAUGGGAAGUUUAGUAGAUAAUGUCUUCUUGAGAAAAAACACACGGUGUUCUUCGGCUUAGUUUUUAAUUUUGAAAGUAGGUCCAAAGAUUGAGUCGGUUGAGUACAGCUGAGGUGUACUUGAGAAAAAAUCAAGGGUGUUGUUUGGCUUAGUUUUGUUUUUAAGUAGGUCCACAGUAGGGGUCGGACACCCUAUCCCAUUACCUUACAGAAAAGGUAAUAGAGAAUGUUCUACGUCAAUACGUUUGUCCGCACUAGGCGCAAAGGGAAGCUGUGUAGCUGUGGUCUACUUGAGAAAAAAUCAAAGGUGUUGUUCGGCUUAGUUUUGUUUUUAAGUAGGUCCACAGUUGGGGUCGGACACUUACAGAAAAGUUAAUUUUGAAAUCGUGUACGGCAAUACUUUUGUCCGCAGUAGGUGCAAAGGGAAGCUUAGUAGCUGAGGUCUACUUGAGAAAAAAUCCAGGAUGUUGUUCGGCUUAGUUUUUUUCUAUAAAAGUAGGUCCACAGUUGGGGUGGACACCAUAUCCAACCUUACAGAAAAGUUAAUAAAAAUUGUUCUACGGCAAUACUUUAGUCCACAUUAGGUGAAAUGGGGAGCUUAGUACCUAAUGUCAACUUGAUAAAAAAUUCAGGGUGUUGUUCGGCUUAAUUUUAUUUUUUUGAACUAGGUCCAAAGUUGGGGUCGCACACCUACCCAGCCUUUACUUAAAUUUUUAUUAAAAUGUUCCACGUCAAUACUUGUGUUCGCACUAGGCGCAAAGGGAAGCUUAGUAUCUGAUGUCCUCUUGAUAAAAAGUCCAGGGUGUUGUUCGGCUUAAUUUUUUUUUAACUAGGUUCAAAGUUGGGGUCGGACACCCUAUCCCACCUUUACAGAAAAGUUAAUAAAAAAUGUUCUACGGCAAUAUUUUUGUCUGCACUGGGCGCAAAGGGAAGCUGGGCAGGUGAGGUGUACUUGACAAAAUAUCAGGGGUGUUGUUCGGCUUAGUUUUAUUUUUAAGUAGGUCCACAGUUGUGGUCGAAAACCCUAACCCACCCUUACAUAAAAGUUGUUUAAAAAUGUUCUAUGUCAAUAAUCUUGUCCGCACUAGGCGCAAAGGGAAGCUAGGUAGCUGUUGUCUACAAGAAAUAAAAAAACACAAGGUGUUCUUCAGCUUAGUUUCUUUUUAAAGUAGGUCCAAAGUUGGUGUCGGACACCCUACCCCAGUACCUUACAGAAAAGUUAAUAAAACUGAUCUACGUCAAUACUUUUGUCCGCACCAGGCGCACAGGAUAGCUGAAUAGCGGUGGUCUACUUGAGGAAAAACAUAGGGUGUUUUUCGGCUUAUUUUUUUUUUUUUUUUUUAAAUAUGUCAAAAGAUUAAGUCAGGACAGUCUACUUCACUACCUUACACAAAAGUUAAUAACACAUGCUCUACGUCAACACCUUUGUCCUCACUAGGCGCAAAGGAUAGCUUGAUAGCUGUGGUCUACUUGAGAAAAAACACAUGGUGUUCUUCGGCUUAGUUUAUUAUUUCUAAAGUAGGUACAAAGAUUGAGUCGCUCAGUCUACAUCACUACCUUACAGAAAAGAUAUCAAAACUGUUCUACGUCAAUACUUGUGUCUGCAAUAGGCGCAAAGGGAAGUUAUGAAGCUGUGGUGUACUUGAGAAAACACACAGGGUGUUAUUCGGCUUAGUUUAUUUUUUUUAAGUAGGUCCAAAGUUGGGUCGGACACCCUACCCCAUUACCUUACGUAAUUGUUAAUAACAAAUUUUCUACGUCAAAACAUUUGUCCGCACUAGGCGCAAAAGGAAGCUGGGUGUUCUUCUGCAUCGUUUUUUUUUUAAAGUAGGCCAAAAGAUUGAGUCGGACAGUCUACUUCACUACCUUAAAGAAAAGGUAAUUACAAUGUUCUACGUCAAUACUUUUGUCUGCACUAGGUGCAAAGGGAAACUGGGUAGAUGUGGUCUACUUGAGAAAAAACACAGGGUGUUCUUCGGCUUAGUUGAUUUUUUUUUAAAUAGGUCAAAAGAUUGAGUCGGACAGUCUACUUCACUACCUUACAGAAAAGUUAAUAAAACAUGCUCUACGUCAAUACUUUUGUCCGGACUGGGCGCAAAGUAAAGCUAGGUAGCUGUGGUGUACUUGAGAAAGAACACAGGGUGUUCAUCGGCUUAGUUUAUUUUUUUGAAAGUAGGUCCAAAGAUUGAGUCAGACAGUCUACUUCACUACCUUACAGAAAAGUUAAUAAAACAUGCUCUACGUCAAUACUAUUGUCCGCACUAGGUGCAAAGGAAAGCUAUGUAGCUGUGGUCUACUUGUGAAAAAACACAGGGUGUUCUUCGGCUUUAUUUAUUUUUUUAAAUAGGUCCAAAGAUUGAUUCGGACAGUCUAUUUCCCUACCUUACAGAAAACUUAAUUGAAAUGUUCAACGUCAAUACUUUUGUCCGCACUAGGAGCAAAGAUAAGCUGUGUAGCUGUGGUCUACUUGAGAAAAAACACAAGGUGUUCUUCGGCUUAGUUUUUUGUUUUUGUUUAAAUAGGUCCAAAAUUAGAGUCGGAAAGUCUACUUCACUACCUUACAGAAAAGUUAAUAAAACAUGUUCUACGUCAAUACUUUUGUCCGCACUAGGCGCAAAGGAAAGCUAGGUAGCUGUGAUGUACUUGAGAAAUAACACAGGGUGUUUUUCGGCUUGGUAUUUUUUACAUAGGUCUAAAGAUUGACUCGGACAUUCCGCGCUAGUAGUAAAGGGAAGCUGGGUAACUGAAGUCCAUAGGCGGAUUUAGGGAGGGGGCCAGGGGGCCCUGCCCCCCCUUUUUUGGGAAAAAAAUUGGUUGCUUAUAUAGGGAAUCACUGAAGCGUGACUGGAGCGGGCCCCCUCUUAGGUCAGUCAGUGGGCCCUAAAUUAUGAAAAUUUCUGGAUCCGCCACUGAAGUCUACUUGAGAAAACAAAUGUAGCGUUUUUUCGGCUUAGUUUAUUUUUAAAGUAGGUCCACAGUUGGUGUCGGACACCCUACCCUAACCUUUAAGAAAAGUUAAUAAACAUUUGUUGCACGGCAAAACCUUGUCUGUACUAGGUGAAAAUGGAGCUGCGUAGCUGAGGUCAACAUGAGAUAAAAAUUUAGGGUGUUGUUCUUUUAAAGUAGGUCCAAAGUUGGGGUCGGACACCCUACCCCAACCUUACAGAAAAGUUUAUAAAAAAUGUUCUACGGCAAUACUUUCAUCCGCACUGUAUGAAAAGGGAAGCUUAGUAGCUGAUGUCUACUUGAUAAAAAAUUCAGGGUGUUGUUCGAUCGGCUUAUUUUUUUUUUUUUUUGACUAGGUUCAAAGUUGUAGUCGGACAUCCUAUCCAACCCUUACAUAAAAGUUAAUAAAAAAUGUUCUACGGCAAUACUUUUUUCCGCACUAGGUGUAAAAGGAAGCUGGGUAGCUGAUGUCUACUUGAUAAAAAAUCCAGGGUGUUGUUCGGCUUAAUUUAUUUUUUACUAGGUCCAAAGUUGGGGUCAGACACCCUAUCCCACCCUUACAGAAAACUUAAUAAAAAAUGUUCUAUGGCAACACUUGUGUCUGCACUAGGUGCAAAGGGAGGCUGGACAGCUGAGGUCUACUUGAGAAAAAAUCAAGGGUGUUGUUCGGCUUAAUUUUGUUUUUAAGUAUGUCCACAGUUGGGGUCGGACACCCUAACCCACCCUUACAGAAAAGUUUAUUAAAAAUGUUCUAUGGGAAUACUUUUGUCCGCACUAGUUGCAAAGGGAAGCAAAGUAGCUACGGUCUACUUGAGAAAAAUCCAAGGUGUUGUUCGGCUUAGUUAUGUUUUUAAGUAGGUCCACUAUUGGGGUCUGACACCCUAACCCACCCUUACAGAAAAGUUGAUUAAAAAUGUUCUACGGCAAAACUUUUGUCUGCACUAGGUGCUAAGGGAAGCUGGGUAGCUGAGGUCUACUUGAGAAAAAAUCCAGGGUGUUGUUCCGCUCAGUUUUGUUUGUAAGAAGUUGCACAGUUGAGGUCGGAAACCCUAACCCACCCUUACAGAAAAGUUAAUUAAAAAUGUUCUACGGCAAUACUUUUGUCUGCACUACGUGCAAAGGAAAGCUUAGUAGCUCAGGUAUACUUGGGGAAAAUCCAGGGUGUUGUUCCGCUCAGUUUUGUUUUUAAGAAGUUGCACAGUUGGGGUCGGACAUCCUAACGCACCAUAAAAGAAAAGUUGAUUCCAAAAGUUCUACGGCAAUGCUUUUGUCUGCACUAGGUGCAAAAGGAAGCUUAGUAGCUGAUGUCUACUUGAUAAAAAGUCAAGGGUGUUGUUCGGCUUAAUUUUGUUUAAACUAGGUCCAAAGUUUGGGUAGGACAUCCUAUCCCACCCUUACAGAAAAGUUAAUAAAAAUUGUUC